AGAUUGAACGCUGGCGGCGUGCCUAACACAUGCAAGUCGAGCGGUAACGCGGGAGCAAUCCUGGCGACGAGCGGCGAACGGGUGAGUAAUACUUCGGAAUCUACCCACGGGUGGGGAAUAACCAGCCGAAAGGUUGGCUAAUACCAGAUGCCCUCCUCUGAUCGCAUGAUCGGUUGAGGAAAGUUUUUCGCUUCGGGAGGGGCUCGCGGCCUAUCAGCUUGUUGGUGAGGUAACGGCUCACCAAGGCUUCGACGGGUAGCUGGUCUGAGAGGACGAUCAGCCACACUGGGACUGAGACACGGCCCAGACUCCUACGGGAGGCAGC
RNAcentral lists this ribosomal RNA (325 nucleotides) under uncultured prokaryote. Its description in RNAcentral is "bacterial SSU rRNA". It matches the Rfam family "Bacterial small subunit ribosomal RNA", at positions 26 to 352 of the family's 1533-position model. The record is from RNAcentral.